RNAcentral lists this ribosomal RNA (328 nucleotides) under Salmonella enterica. RNAcentral describes it as "partial 23S ribosomal RNA". It matches the Rfam family "Bacterial large subunit ribosomal RNA", at positions 1 to 365 of the family's 2925-position model. The record is from RNAcentral. Lineage: Bacteria; Pseudomonadati; Pseudomonadota; Gammaproteobacteria; Enterobacterales; Enterobacteriaceae.
GGUUAAGCGACCAAGCGUACACGGUGGAUGCCCUGGCAGUCAGAGGCGAUGAAGGGCGUGCUAAUCUGCGAUAAGCGCCGGUAAGGUGAUAUGAACCGUUAUAACCGGCGAUACCCGAAUGGGGAAACCCAGUGUGAUUCGUCACACUAUCAUUAACUGAAUCCAUAGGUUAAUGAGGCGAACCGGGGGAACUGAAACAUCUAAGUACCCCGAGGAAAAGAAAUCAACCGAGAUUCCCCCAGUAGCGGCGAGCGAACGGGGAGGAGCCCAGAGCCUGAAUCAGCAUGUGUGUUAGUGGAAGCGUCUGGAAAGGCGCGCGAUACAGGGU